Molecule: ribosomal RNA, 258 nt
Filed under: uncultured bacterium
Lineage: Bacteria
Description: partial small subunit ribosomal RNA
Rfam family: Bacterial small subunit ribosomal RNA
Source: RNAcentral
AGGACGAACGCUGGCGGCGUGCUUAACACAUGCAAGUCGAGCGACGCUCCUCCUUCGGGAGGAUGACGGAGCGGCGAACGGGUGAGUAACACGUGGGCAACCUGCCCCUAGCUCUGGGAUAACCCCGGGAAAUCGGGACUAAUACCGGAUAUGAAGUCGGACGGCAUCGUCUGACUUGGAAAGUUUUUCGGCUAGGGAUGGGCCCGCGGCCUAUCAGCUUGUUGGUGGGGUAAUGGCCUACCAAGGCGACGACGGGUA